Molecule: long non-coding RNA, 217 nt
Filed under: Capsicum annuum
Lineage: Eukaryota; Viridiplantae; Streptophyta; Magnoliopsida; Solanales; Solanaceae
Description: long non-coding RNA (CANN_LNC020719)
Source: RNAcentral
AAAAUCAGUCUCUGACACUCUCAGGGAUCACCUGCUAGUUAGGACUGAUCUCAGGGAUUACCCGUUAGUUAGGACUGACUCCAAAACAUUAUUAGUACCCGUGGCAUGGUAUUAGCACCCUUCUAACUGGGGUCAUAGGUUGAACCCAAUCAGCUCAGACUGGGGCAUGUUGGUUAGAUGAUAACUCCCACAAUUAUAGUUAGAGAUUCAGUACUCA